Mya arenaria is the source of this 174-nucleotide long non-coding RNA. RefSeq lists it as uncharacterized. NCBI's taxonomy places the organism in Eukaryota, Metazoa, Mollusca, Bivalvia, Myida, Myidae. The record is from RefSeq and is a predicted model, not a curated record. The transcript has 3 exons.
UUGUCCAGGCUGUCGUAGACGUUCGAAAGGAAGAUGGCAGUUUUGUUUAUAUUGCGGCACGACGUUACCAGUUUUAAAAGAUGAAUCAGAUGAAGUAGCGACUACAGAAAUGUCGUCGCUGGACAUUCAAGAUGAGAGCGAAUCCGAGGAUGGGCCGAGCGGAGCAGAAGCUAC